Molecule: ribosomal RNA, 252 nt
Filed under: uncultured bacterium
Lineage: Bacteria
Description: partial 16S ribosomal RNA
Rfam family: Bacterial small subunit ribosomal RNA
Source: RNAcentral
UACGGAGGAUGCGAGCGUUAUCCGGAUUUAUUGGGUUUAAAGGGUGCGUAGGCGGACGCUUAAGUCAGCGGUAAAAUUGCGGGGCUCAACCUCGUCGAGCCGUUGAAACUGGGUGCCUUGAGUGGGCGAGAAGUACACGGAAUGCGUGGUGUAGCGGUGAAAUGCAUAGAUAUCACGCAGAACUCCGAUUGCGAAGGCAGCGUACCGACGCCCUACUGACGCUGAAGCACGAAGGCGUGGGUAUCGAACAGG